RNAcentral lists this long non-coding RNA (10743 nucleotides) under Homo sapiens (human). RNAcentral's name for it is "HSALNT0093531". Lineage: Eukaryota; Metazoa; Chordata; Mammalia; Primates; Hominidae. The record is from RNAcentral.
UGGCUGACUAUAGGAUUUUUUUGAGCUUCUGGGAGCCUUCUGCAUUCCGUGGUUUGGGUCCCUUUCCUCCAUCUUCAAAACCAGUCUAACAGCAUUUUCAUAUCUCUAUGAUACUAAUUUCCUCUUUUUUGAGGCAUAAACAUAUUUUCAUUGAAAAUCGUGAAGAAUUGAGAAGGAAAGGAGUCUGAAAUUUUAAAUGGAGACUUCUCUCUUGCUGGCUUAGGUAAAGCAAGCCCCACAUGGCAAAGAACUGAGGGACAGACAAUAAGAAACAAGCUCUCAGCCCAACAAGCCACAAGGAAGUGAAUUUUGCCAACAACCAAGUGAGCUUGGAAGCAGAUCCUUCCAUAAUCAAGCUUUGAGACAAAACUGCAACCUGGAUUGACCCCUUGACUGCAACUUUGAAGAGAACAACUAAAUUGUGUCCUUACUGCUGAUCCACAGGAUUCUGUGUUGCUUUAAACUACUGUUUGUGGUAACAUUGUAACACAAAUAUACAUAACCAAUACCAUUUACAUGGUGCUUACUAUAUGUCAGGCACUAUUCCAAGAGUUUACUCUUUUAAUCUACGUAACUCAAGGAUAUAAUUCAUCUCAUUUUAUAAAUAAAGAAGAGAACACAGAGCUUAAAUAACUUGUCAAAGUUCACAGAGCAAGCAUCUCCAAUCAAAAUAUAUAAUAAUAUGCUUCUCUGUAAAAAUAAUAUUUUGUUAAUGAAAUGGAGUUUAAUAGGCCUGUAUGCUACCCACAUCUGAAUUCCACUGAAGUAUUUUCUCACAAAUAUUUUAUACCUCACAAAAUAUUUUAUACACAAAUAUUUUAUAUCUCACAAAAAUUUUUAUACCUCCUGGCAAACUCAAUCAAACCAAGAAAUAGGAUGCCUUAAUUGGUUAGACAAGGGAGAGUUGAAAUUCGUUUCAGCUUGUCUGCAAUCUGUUUGUAACACAGAGAAGAAAUUUUUGCCAGAAGACAAUUUAACGAGGGUGAUGUAAAUAUUUUAGCCAAUAUCAUGUAACCAUCUUCUUCCCAUAUUAACUAUCUUGUUCCAUAAUUUCCAUCCCCCACUUAAACAAUCCUGAUAUUGCCUAAUGUUAAAAUAUGUUUAAAAGAAAAGUUUUAACUUAGGCUAAAAUAUCAUUUUCAUAAAUAGAGCUAAGGAAAUGACAAUUGAUUAGAAAAUAAAUGUCAUGUUGCCACAUUACUGAACUACAUUAUACUAUAGGAUAUCCCAAGUACUGUAAUGUGGAGUAGUGUUAGAUUUUGGAUAACAGAUGGGAGACCAGUUUUGAUGCAAAGAUUUUAGUUGAUUUCCUGAGUUAAAUCAGAUGUUCAUCCCUAUAAAUUAAGUAGCAAUCUUAUCCCUAUUCUAGCAUUAUAAAUGCCUCUAUUAUAUCAUGUAAUAAAUGUUGACCAUAGUUAAAAUACAGAAGUGUGACAUAUUUCUUUGAUAUAACCCCAUAAACAUCCCCUACCCGUCUGUCCUUCCUUAGCAUUCAGAGUACUCUAGCCACAUGGAACUACCAUACCAAAACAUUUGUUUUAUGAGUGAAUAGCUUAAUUGCUGAUAUCCUUAUAGAAAACACAUACCUAUGUAUGUGUAAUAAUUUCAUACCAUUGUUCAGUUUAUUGAAUGUUGAAGAUAUUAAACAGGACACUUGUGUAAUGUAACUGCUCUUGGAUUAGUCACAAUAGAAAGGUAUUUGCUUAGGUUGUCAGCUGUGACAAACUGAAUCACUAAAUUACCUCAAUUUUAAAAUUAAUAAAAGAUAUUUAAGAUAUAUCAAUUUUUUCUUCUGGUCUGAUAAUAAAAGCAUGGAAAAUUCAGGAAAAUGGAAAAAUCCUAUGGCUUAUCAGGAAAGAUGAUGUUUUGUAUCAAUAUGUCUACCCUGAGAGCUUUGUCCAUCUUCUUUUGUUACUUUUAGCUAAUCCUUUAGAGGGGCAAAGAGAACAGAGAAAGAAAAUGAAAACAAAAAGAUGGCACGUAUCAAUCAUUUAUCCAGAUAAACCUAUUUCCAUAUAUUGGGUGUUCUAUGUAUUUAAGGAUAUAUGUUAAUAAUUAACUCAAAAGUUAUGAGUAAAUUUCAUUUAGCUCAAAACGUUUCCAUACACAAUCUGUUAUGUCAGAAAAUAUUAACCAAGGUUCCCACCUUACCGAUAGAAAAAAAUAACCAACUCCCAGUUGCAUCAAAUCUACAGUUUUGGUGAACGUUAGUUUCAUGACCAUUAAAAAACAGAGAUUAACAGAUGCUUUCAGAUCCAAAAUAAGGCAGUCUUUUAUAUACAAAAGCCUUGGCACAUGUCUGCAAAUGCUACUGAGAAAGGUAGCAUUGCAAACUGUUCAGUCUCAUAGUUGAUUCAAAAACACUGCUCCCUUCUUUUUCUUCUCUAACAUGCCAGUCUAGAAAUUCAGCUCCUGUGCCAUAGGGAUGAUUGGUAUUAGAGUCUUCCUUCUUGCAUGCAUCCCCUACAGUGCUGCAAUGAGGAUGGUAGAAAUGGGAAACACGUCCCCUCUUACUUGAGUGCCUGUAGCACAUUUGUUAAACUGUUUGUUGUCACUUCUCUGUAAAAUAUUAACUGGAAGUUGGUUCCCUUUUUGCAGCAGCCAAUGAAAUAUUCAUUCUCUUGAGAUUAUUUGUUGGUUUUUCAAGAACCUUCCUCUCCUUGCACAAUUUCCCAGUGCUAGAGACUUGGCUUAGGAUUAAAUUUCUUUUUAAAGCAUCUCAAAUCACCAUACUGUCUUUUGUCCUCUGGUAUGGGUUGUCCAGGGAGUAAGUUUACUUUUGUUCUGUAAUAAACUACCCGCAAACUUAGUGGCCCCAUCACAUUAUUAUCACUUACAAUUAUUACUAGGUGCUUCUUCUGGUAUGGACCACCUAGUCUGAUCUGUUUGGCUAGCUCAGGCAUCUGUAGUAAACUAAUGAGUCACCUAACCAAUUGGAUAUUAUAGGAUAGCCUUGCCUAUGAGUUUGGAGAUUGAACAACUGAGGCAACAGGCAUCUUAUCUACGUGUUUUUUCGUUCUUCAUUUUCUAGAAAGUUAGCAGGCUGAUUUACAUGGUCACCCAAGCUUUCCAAAUGUAGCCAGAGAGGGCAAGUUUCAAUGUAUGAAAACUUUUCUAGAUGAGAAUGCUUCUUUUGGGAAGAUUCUAUGUAUACCCCUCUCAUUGCUUUCCACAAUAUUCCCAGCUGAGGAGAGACAUGUUGAACAAUUCAAAUGAACUAAUAACACUCAAUUUCUUAAAAUCUAGUGGAUGCUGAUGUGUUCACUAUUUAUCUUUAAAUAAAUCAUUCAAUUUAUAUUAUUUUAACUUAACUAUAUCUGUAUCUAUAUACACAUAUAUUCUUUUAUAUGGUAUAUUUUAAUAUAAUAUUUUUAAGGAUUUGGUAAUAGAAAAAAUAAACAAAACUAUAAAUUUGAAUAGACCUACCAACUUGGCCCCUAGCAUUUGCUGGCAUUUGCAAUAUAAAAAUUCAUCACUUAUUCUUUCUAAAAUUAGAAUAAUUAGAAAAUAAGAGUGGAUACUUAGAAAUUAGAAUCUUUUACAGGCAAUACCUAACUAAAAAUAAAGCUGAUAAAAUUUACCUUCCCAUCUUCCAAUGUUGUUUCUGGCUACAAUGGGACUAAAUAAGACAUAGACAAAAGGGAGGUAUCUAAAAAAUUCUUCUAUAUUUAAAAUUAAAUAGCACACUUAUGUAUCACACAUGGGUCCACAAAGAAACCACAAAAGGUAUUAUCAAAAGUUUUAGUUGAAUCUAUAUUAUGUCCUUACUAUGAAUACUAAUCUGUGUGUGUGUGUGUGUGUGUGUGUGUGUGUGUGUGUGUGUACUUGAAAAUAAUUUGUUUGAUUCAGGGCUUGCAUUUUUGCUCUUUAUUUUUCUUAAUUAUAUUAUACUUCUAUUUCCCAGUCAUCUCAUUUAUGAGUUAUGCUUUUCUGUAUUCAUUAACAGAUUUCCUUUUAUCCCACUUGCAUUUUUCUUUCCCAGCCCACUUUAUGUUGGAAACCUCCUCCUUCCAUGGCCUUCCUGAUAGCAGAUGAUAGAAAAGUAAAUGUUUUAGUUAACCAUAACAAAAAUUAUGUUAUCCUUAACCAUGCUCUACCUCUCACAUUUUACACUUAAUCUAUAUAGAAAUCCAACUGACCUUAUCACCAAAAUGUUUUCGUAAUCUGAAACCCAUGUCUACACCGCCAUCAUCUUGGUCUGUUUCAUCAUGAUAUCACACUCAGACUAAUGCCAUAGCCAUCCCACCACCACGUUUUCAUUGCUUUAAUUUUUGCCCAACCUGCUUUAGUGUAUUUUCUACAUAAUAGCCUGGGAGACAAUUUAAAAUGUAGUUCUGAUGUCACUAUUUUACUAUAAAACUUGUAGUGGCUUCACUUAGCCCUUCCUUUACCUGAAUGUUCUCUCCAAAAAGUCCCUCAACUUCUUGUUGUUGCUCAAAUUACAUGUUUUCAAUGAAGCCCACUCUAACUACCGCCCUUGCCCCAUGUAUCCACUACUUUAAGUCUUGCUUACUCUAGUUCUACAUUUUUUCAUAACAUUCAUCAUUUGUAGCAAAGUGACCUACAAAUAUGUAUUCACCUGUUUAGUAUUUAAUAUCUGCAUAUUCUAUUUCACUGGGGCAAGAAAAGUAUUGUUUUUUCACUGGUAUAAGAACCUACAACAUUGCCUCAGAUAUGAUAACCCUUCUAUAAAUAUUUAUAAAAUGAAUAAAGCAUUCAUUUUAAAAAUUGGGUCUCAUAAUUCACGGUUAAAGCAUUUUGACUACAGAUUUAAUUCUUUAAACUGUGAUGGAUACAUUCAUUUAACAAUGUCUUCAUGAGCCAGUUUGGAUUUUUAAGACAUUUGUCUAUUUCAUUUAGAUUGCAAAUUAUUGGCAUGAAAAUUUCCAUAAUUUUAUUGUCUACAAUAUUUAUAAAAUUCAUAUUUCCAUCUUUUUUCUAUGAUCAGUUUCAUCAGAUAUUACUUUCUGCUUUCUCUCUAUAACAAAUGAUGAACAAAUUUCUAUCUUAUUAGUUCCUUCUUACUACUAUGUGUUUAUUUUACGUCAUUUUUCUGUGUUUUAAAAAUGGGUGGCUAGCUCAUUAAUUUUCUAUCUUUUGCCAUCCCAACAGCUACAUUUAGAGCUCUGAUUUCGCCUUCAAGAUACUGUUUUAAAUGCAUUCCAUAACGUUUAUAUUAUAUUGUAAUAAUUAAGUUCCAAAUAUUUUCUUUAGCAUGUGAUUUUUUUCUUUGACCUAAGGGUUAUGUAGAAAUGUGCUUCUUCAUUUCCAAAGACAGAAGAAAAUUUUACUUAUCUUAUAGUUAUUAUUAUUUUUGCUGAAUUUCACUGUGGGUGGAGAAAAAUUUCCAUAUGACAUCAGUGUUUGAAAUUUGUUAAGACUUGCUCUAUGGGUCAAUAUAUAAUCAAUCUUCAUAAACACUCUAUGUUGGCUUAAAAAAAUGUACAUACCAAAAUUGAUAUGUACAAUACCAAUUGGUAUGUACAAAAUUGGUAUGUACAAUACCAAUACCAAGGGUACAGCAUUCUAUAUGUAUGUAUUAGGUGGUUUCUUAAUUAUAUUCUUCAAUACUUCUAUCUCCUCAAAGCAUUUGCCUUCUUUUUCAUAAGCUCCUAUGAUAUGUUCAACAUCUUCUACUAUGAUUGUUGACUGAUGUAUUCUUUGUGUAUUUAUAUGAUUUUUUCUUUUUUUUAUAAUUUAGAAAUUGAUUUCUGAUGAACUGAAACUCUUAUAUGAUAUUCAUCUAUAUCUCUAAAAAGCCUUUAUGUAAAAAUUAUAUCUGUAGUGACAUAGCUACAUCAGCUCUUUUUGUCUAGUUUGCAUAUUGUACCUCUUCUUUUUCAUUCCUAUAUCUUUGUUUUAGAUUAGAUCUAUUUCUCAUGAAUCAGUGACAAUAAUGUGUGCAUUUAUUUUCUAACAGUUCAAUCUAUACUGUUGUUUUAUUCAUCUUUGUGCAAAAGCCACACUCUUCUAUUUAUUGUGGUUUUACAAUAAGUCUUCAUAUUUAUCAGUUUCAUGUCCUUUAAUUGUGUUCUUUUUCUUUAAGAUUGCCUUGGCAGAGUUUCUCUUCUGCUUGAAACGUAGAAAGUGGGAAAGGAAUCUUACACCCAUUUUAACAAAUGAGUAAAAUUUGGAUAAUCUAAAAAGCCACAGUUUUUAUUGAAUCCAUCAAAGAGCUAAAGACAAAAGGCAGUGAAGAGAACUGAAUUCCAACUAAUGGCAUAAUCUUCUGAGAUGUAAGGCACGUGAGCCAUUUUACCAUUGGCAGAUCACAGAAGGAAGAGGUAGCUGUUGUAGAAGCAGAUAAGAAAAAAUUAACUCUAAUUUUAAUAAUUUUUUAAAGCUGCAUUUGGACACAGCAUCAGUUUAGAUUACCUGGGAUUUCAAGAUACAAAGACGAUCUGUGGACACAUACACUUUUCUCCAAAGACCUCCACUGAUUAUUUACAAGAAAGAUCGGCUCAGGGGAAAAGACCAGAGAGCUCACCUCUGUAGCAGAGGAAAGCCACGGAAAUAAUUUUCUAUUGACUGGAAACACACAAAACACAGCACACUUCUCUGAGCUCUUUGACUAUAUGAAGCAAAAGCCUUAACCCACUGGAAAAGAAAGGCAAACCUUCCAGCUCCUGGGCUACUUCACCCAGGUAAGAGGUAGGAAAUUAUAUUACCAGUCACCAGAUCCAGGCAAAGAUCCAAUGCUACCGUGGAAUGGUAGACAUAGAAGUCUUCUGUCCUUUGCGAGUGGGACUGAAAUAUCUCUUCUUCUAGGAUCUUGUACCAGUAUAAACAAGUUUGCUAGAGGUGUGGAGAGAGGAAGGUAACUUACUCUUGCCAAGCCUGUCACAGAUUGAAAGCAGAAAAUAGCUGCCAUGCAGUGCCAAGUGUCAGGAAUGACAAAAGAGCCUUCACAAUCCCCAAGUGCAUAAAACCUUCCUAAGAUUGUGGCUUGACGAUAACUGAGAACACUGUAAUAGAGAAGAUUCAUGAUUAUACUGAUAUAUAGAGAAAGAACAUUUGUCAACAUAUAACACUAUCUCAAGCUAAAAACAUCUCAACUAAGUGUAAUAGGAGGAUUCUAUCUUCUUCAAUCUAAUAUAGGACAUCUACUUAGAAAAAAAAUAAAUAACUAAAGCAAAAAUGUCAAAUGAUUCUCCAGGCCCCAACUCCAACAAAACAAAUCACGAAACAAAGAUAUCCUCUCCAGUGAUAUUUAUCCAGUAUUUAAAUUGGAGAACUUAACCAAUUUAUAUAUUUUUAUAUUUAUAACAUAAAUUUUAAAUUUAUAUUUAUAAGGCAAGAAAAGAUAAAUUAAAAAAAGAUUGAAAUGAAAGAAACAAAACCGUCUUUAUUCAUAGAUGAAAUGUUGAGAUUCCGAAGAACCUACAAUGUAGAAAUUAGAAAAAAUAGGUGAUUUUACUAGUAUCACAGGAUACAAGAGCAAAAUACAAAAAUAAAUUGACUCAAAAAUGUGUAAGGAAAAGCAAAUACAGGCAAACCUGAAAAAUAAAUAAAAUCAAAUUUGAGGAACAUUGCACUACCUGGUUCCAAGAUUUAUUCUAAAACCAGGAUAAUCAUGACAAUGUAGUAUUGAAAUAAACAUAGAUAUAUAAUCAAUGGAACAAAAUGUAGCAUCCAGAGGUGGACUCUCAUAUACAUGAUGUCAAGAUAAUAGGAUGAAGAAACAUAGUAAUUACAAAAAAUGAUUCUGGAACACUUCAAAAUUCAGCGCAAGCAAACAAACCUCAGCCAUUCCCAUACUGUGUGUGUAUAUAUAUAUAUAUAUAUAUAUAUAUAUGUAUGCAAAAAUCCAAUCAAAUUAGCUCGAAGGCCUAAAUGUAAAUAAAAACUAUAAAACUCCUAGGAAAAAUUAUAUUAGAAAAUUUUUGUAGCUUUUUUGGGGUUAGACAAAAAUAUCUUAGGUUGGAAAUCAAGAUCACAAAUGAAUUUUUAAAGUAUGAAUUAGACUUCAUUAAAAUGAAAAAUGUUUUUUUAAUUAAUAACAUUUUUACCAAAAUGAAAAGUUAAUCCAAUACUUGGAGAAAAUAUAUGGAGUACAUCUGAUAAAGGACAGACUAUCCAAACUGUAUGCCAAACUCUUACACUCAGUAAUAAAAACAGCCUAAUAAAUAAUGAGCAAAAACUUGAACACUUAACCAAAGAAGACAUUUUAAUGGCAAACAUGCACUCAAAAAGAUGCCCAAUGUCGUUAGUCAAUAUGUAAAUGCAAAUUAAACCUGAAGUAAAUACCACUACUACACAUCUACUAGAAUGGGAGGGGGAAGACGUCCUUAAUAAGUGUGGGACAAGGCAGAGAACAAGUGGAAUUCUCAUGCAUUGCCAACUGUAGGAUGCGAAAUGCCUUUUUAGAUGUUAGCUCCUAGUAGUAGGUUGUCAGACUUGUUGUUCACAUUUCUCCCAGAAAUAGAGGACUAGAAACCCUUCAAUUCUGAUGUUACAUAUAUUUUAUGACUUGUUUACAUAUUCAUUAUACAGAUUAUUAAAAAUAAUGAGAUUUAGAUUGGUAAUAAAUCAUUUGUAAUCUAUUGGAAAUGUAUUCUUCUUAUAUAUCUAUAUGUAACACAUAAUACUUGUUAUCUAUUAAAAUACAUUUAUUGGAAAUGGGUAUUUUGUUAUCUAUUUUAAUUAUCACAGUAUAGAUUUAUAAAACUACUCUAAUAUUUAAUAGUUAUGAGACUUAUAACUAUAGCUAGAACAAUAUUUUAAAACGUGUUUAUAUUUUCACAAAAUGUUUUCUUUUAAAAAUAAAUGUAUAAUAUAGUCUAGAGAAAGAUCAUCAUUUGACUACUUAUUGUGGAAACCAAACUGGAUUGAGUUCUCUAAAGGCAAAUAUUUUUGCAUGCAUUCAAAUUUAUGCUUUGCAAAAUGUGUUCUAAAUAUUUUAUUACAUAAAUUGAACUUCAUGUGAGAAUGAUGAAGAGAGAUAUACUUGCUCUAUUGUGUGAACCAAAUUUGUGAAUACUAUACCAAUAGGUUCAUCAGAGGGUUUUCUGCAACCAUACUCACCCUCUGAGAAUAUUCAUAAAUAUAGUUUCCUUCAUCUUAUUUUCUGCAAUUGCUUAGUAUUCCAGUACUAUUUUAGGGUUCAAUAAAAAUUGAUGGUUCCAAUUCCUCCACACUUUCAUCUAGUUUUACGUGAAUACUCAUAGAUUAUUUCUCCUGGAUAGUGAAUGAAAGAUCUAUAAAGAAUAGAGUGAAGUCUAUUAUGCACUUAUUGAAUUUACAUGCCCUCUUACAAAAAUAAGAUUGUACCCAUUAAUAUUGCAACUUCCUGGCUAUCUCAUCCCAUGUUUUUUUUUUUUUUUCCUUUUGGUUUUUCUUUCUGGAAGCCCUAAAGUAUUUUAAGAUUGGCAGACAUUAUAUUAAUUUCUAGGCACUUUGAUAAAAUCAACAGAAAUGUUAGCCUAGACAUGACAAAACAGUUCAUGUCAUUCAGUAAUGAAAGAAAAUCUAUAUAAGCAUGGGAACACUUUAUGUUUGAAAUGACUGUAAAUUUUGAAACUUGCUGUUUGAUUCUACAAGCAAUUUGUUAGCUAUGAGCUUGACAUAGUUACAAAACAUUUGUCCAUGAUGUUUGCAAGAACAAGAUGUCCUGCUUCAGCUCUCACAACUGUGAAGCCAAGAUGAUUGUCUCUGUGAAAUUGUUACCAGUUUUGUCUGACUACAUCAUCAAGCACUGUAGACUCCUCUUGGUGCUUUUGAUAAUUACACUUUGAUUAUCAUCAAUGACUUCAAUAAGACAUCAAGUAGGUGGGUGGGAAUGCCGUCAAAGUGAUCAAUUAAAAUUACCAAGACUUUAUUUUAAAAUCACUUCAGAUAUGUUCCUAAGAUACGGUAUGGAUGGUGGUUAAUAAAUGAAUAAAGGAGUUAAAAUUUACAUACAGAUGACAUUUUAGACUACAGCAUAAAAUAAGUCAGUGGAAGAGAGAAAAAUACAGAUCAUUCCCUUUAAGACAUUUCCAUUUUUACGAGCUGUGGCAAAUAAUUUCCAGGCGAAGCAUGAAGUCCUUCAAAUUUCACAAGAAAUGUUAAUAUAUACUCAGAACUGGGCAUCACUAUGAAAGAAUGUAAAUCAUUGUCAAUAAGCAGGGCAUGUCCUACUAAGAUUAUGUUGCUACUGCAUAGUCACAUAUGACUCAUACAAUCAUAGUACUCUAGAAAUCUUGAAUGCCCUACAUUCAAGCCUGUGUGACUACAAUCCCCCAUGAUUUUGUGCCUUUUUUUCUUACAGUAUAGCAUCAAAAAUGAGAAGUCAGCUUCACUGAGGACCCCAGACAUACGUAUUCUUUGUUUUGUAGAAAUAUAUAAACCAGUAGUAGUUGUAGUCAUCUGACACAAACAUCAUUUUCUGCUAUAUUGCAUUCCAAUCUUUUUUUUUUCAAUCGGAUGGCUAAGUCAGUGCCAACACCUAAUAAUAUUUAACAUUUUAUUCAAAAAUCUUCAUUGAAUCCUGGAUUCUAGCAUUUGCUCUAAUUGUUGAUUGACCAUUUAUGCAGCCAACAUUAAUUUAACUUUAAGCUUAACUGAUUACUAGUAGAAAAGUGAUUUUGUGGCAUAUCAUGCAAACACAAUCUUAUUCAAAAAGAUUUUUCUACUUCCAUAUUGACAUGCAUUUGGUGAAAUAGUUUUUAAAAACCUAAUGGUUUUGAUUGGAUAUAUUGAUAUUAUGGUUAAUAACAUUUUUUCUCACUCAAUUUUCUAUAAGCUUGAACAGUUCUUUACAAU